This 21-nucleotide non-coding RNA is filed under the name Caenorhabditis elegans. The record is from RNAcentral. Lineage: Eukaryota; Metazoa; Nematoda; Chromadorea; Rhabditida; Rhabditidae.
UAAUUGGUGUUCUGCUUCAAA